This 253-nucleotide ribosomal RNA is filed under the name uncultured bacterium. RNAcentral describes it as "partial 16S ribosomal RNA". It matches the Rfam family "Bacterial small subunit ribosomal RNA", at positions 524 to 776 of the family's 1533-position model. The record is from RNAcentral.
UACGGGGGGGGCAAGCGUUGUUCGGAAUUAUUGGGCGUAAAGAGCUCGUAGGCGGCUUGUCACGUCGGUUGUGAAAGCCCGGGGCUUAACCCCGGGUCUGCAGUCGAUACGGGCAGGCUAGAGUUCGGUAGGGGAGAUCGGAAUUCCUGGUGUAGCGGUGAAAUGCGCAGAUAUCAGGAGGAACACCGGUGGCGAAGGCGGAUCUCUGGGCCGAUACUGACGCUGAGGAGCGAAAGCGUGGGGAGCGAACAGG